CAGACACCUGGUUUUUCUCUUGAAUUGUACAAUCAUUGUUUCUUAAUAAAAGUGAUAAAUUUAUUGCAGGUGUUUCCAAUCACCAUUACCUUUCAAGUGCUAGUGUGCCCUUUCAAGGGCUCUCCAAUUUUUCCUUGCAUGGUGGUGGUGAUACAUUUUACUAGAAAUGACUGUAAGCAACUGUCUUCCUCAUGCCUAGCAGCUGGAUCGAUCGCAAACCACUUCUCAGGCUGCAGGUCUGUUUCUACUGCAGAAAUUUAAAGAGGAUCAGCCUACUUCUGGAGCUUUUAGGAGGUCAUGGCGCACAACUUUAUCAGGAGGACGGGCCUUGAUCUUCAACAGUCCUGAGCCUGGAAUGGCAUGCUGGAAUGGCCUCGGCUGCUCCUGAAGCCCCUUCAGUCAAGUCAUCCGCAUAGAGGAGAGACUGGGGCUGUGCAGCCACUGAAGGAAGUCCGCAAGGGAAGCAAGCAGAAGCUGCUGUAAAAUGACUCAUCUGCGAAAGCCCAUGUGUCUGCCUACCGUCGCCAGAGGAGCAGUUACAUGGCGUCUGUUUCAUGUUUGCUUUCCACAUCACACGAGUACACGUCAUCAGAGGAACCUACCCCAGAACACAGCUGGCGAAGACUCUGGGGAAUGUAGAUUCCAAGACUCUCCAACUCUCUGCUCCUCAGCUGGUCAAGGGUCUUUACCUUGUGGAAUGACCCAAACCUUUGUUCCUGAAGAGUCUGAGCCUGUUCUGAUCCACACUGGUGGUGGUAUCUUCCAUCAACUGGUACCUUUGGACAUGCAAAGAAUUUUAAUAAAGAAAAAUGGGAGGGCAGAGGCAGAUGAAUGCUCAGUGAAACGCUGUGUACACCUGCACAUCUGGUUCUCUUGCCGUGGGGAAGAAGAAGGAAUGGAGGCUUGAUUCUGAGCCUUCUGUCUGCCUGAUGUCUUCUCCCAGCUUCCAAGAGGACUUAUCACCCCCUGCCGCCCCACCCCCACCUCCAUGGCUGGGAUGGGGGAGUGCGGCCAGUGCCCAAUGUGGUCUGUGGGGUCCCCUGGCUUCUGCUGCUGCAUCCACGCCUAUUCUUUGACUCUAGAUCCUGUAGGAGGACAGCUCCUUCCUGAGUGGCUACAGGAAUUUCAGCCAAUCUUAGAAGAUCUUAUCUGAGACUGAUCACACCCCUCUAUUGAGGAAGCUGGAACACAUUCCCUACUUUCCCAAAGUCCUGUUCAUCAUUUCUGCCAGGGCGCCUCGGGGGCCCUCAUAGUAGGAGGACCUGUGAUCCUAUAACUGAAUAGCCCAGGAAGGCAUGAAGAUCAGGCCCCAUGGUAAACACCACUGGAAUCACGCACUUUUGAUACAGGAUCAGAUCUUGGCAGUCAAUGGGUAAUACGACAAAAUCAGAAUAUUUCUUAAUGAAAACAUAUGUCCCAAAUUUCCACAUCAUCUUUAAGUAGCCAACAUGUAACCACUGUAGACAACUUAUGGAAGACAUCACUGAGCUCAGCAUGCUUAGUGCCUUGUGCUUGAAAAUCUCCCACCAAGAGUGAAUGAAAAUAUAUCUAUUUCAAAUCAAAGAUGCACACACUCUGUUGUGGAUACUGCACGUUGAGUUCAUUUCACACAGCUAAGGCAUAGAUUCCACAGAUAUACUUUGUUGUGACAGUCUGCAGGCAUUCAAAGCGGCUGGUGAAAAGGAUGGUAUGUGCCUCUGCCAUUUCCGGUACCCAUACUGCCCUUGGUGGAUGUGGCUGGCGUGGCAUGCCAACCACUCAUUUUGCAAGCAGGAAUAUAUGAUGAUAAAUGGAUUUUAGAAUACAUGAUUAAUGACAAGUUAUUGAUAAUGAGCUAUGAAGGAUUAAGAAUUCUCACUACUUUUAAGUACAUUAUUCUAAUUAAUUGUUGAGUACCACAAUUCACAAACUCCAUGCCAAACUAUAGAAAUGCCAAGGUGGAGAAACCUGGUACUAAUUUCAAGGCACUUACGGUCUAAUGUGGUAAUUAUGCUUAUUGGCGAGUCCCACCACCCAGAGACAACUACUGAAAAAUAUCAGUAUAUUUCUUUCUAGUUUUUUCUAUGCCUACAUACCAUAUACCAAAAUUAGGAUCAUACUAAAUAUACAAUUCUAUAUUCUGCUUUAUUUAUUUAACACUGUUUUGUAUGCUUUUCUUACAUUCUUUGAAAAUGUGAGUUUUAAUGACUUCAUGAUAUUCUAUUGUGUGGAUGUUUCAUAACUGAACAAAUUUAUUAUUGUUGAAUAUUUAACGUUUAAUGUUUCCAAACUUACUUUAUUAUAAAUAGUGAUUGCGUGAACAUCCUUGUAUAUAAAUCUGUCUGCACUGAUCAGAUUUCUUUCUUAGAAUACAUCCCUAGAAAUAGAUUUAUUGGUCCAUUUUUUGAUUCUUAAACACAUAUAGCCAAAUUUUU
Long non-coding RNA from Equus asinus (donkey), 2414 nucleotides. NCBI's taxonomy places the organism in Eukaryota, Metazoa, Chordata, Mammalia, Perissodactyla, Equidae. The record is from Ensembl.